Molecule: long non-coding RNA, 2854 nt
Filed under: Nicotiana benthamiana
Lineage: Eukaryota; Viridiplantae; Streptophyta; Magnoliopsida; Solanales; Solanaceae
Description: long non-coding RNA (NBEN_LNC007051)
Source: RNAcentral
CUAACCUUUAGUCUGUGAAAUUCUCUCUAGAACCUUCGAUCCUCUCUCUUCUCUGAUGGUUUUCCUUGCUGUUCUGGCCACCUCCAACCUCACUCCUCUCGACCACCACUCACCAUGGUACUAUAUCUCAUUGUUUCUCUCUCAAACUCGAAGCCUAGAGGCUUCCGCCAUAAAAGACGGUCGAUUGAAGAUUGCUUGAGUCUUUGCUGGCCUUUCUCCGAUGAUUUUCACACGAUAAUGCUCUCUAUGGCGUUAUUAAUGGGGUUUCAUAGCCAGGUUCCUCCUUUCUUUAACUCGUCUGCGAACCCUAGUUUUUUCUACUCAAAUCUCUUUAAUUUUCGGUUUUUAAAAUGAUUUUUAGUUUGAUUCUUUGUUUUUUACUCUCAGUCUCCGAUUAUCUUAAGUUUUUCUAUGAUUUCUCCUCUUUUUCAAAGUUAGGGUUUCUGACCUUUUUGCCCAAAUCGCUUUUUCUGCCUUUUUAUGAGUAUUAUAUGUUUAUGCUUGUUUGUUUUGCGAGUGUUUACUUCUUUGUUAGCCUGAGUUCCAUGCCUUAUUUCUCUGACUGUGGUUUUGACCCUUUGUUUACAUGCUUAGGGUUCUCUCAAAUCCAUGUCUGUUAUGCUUUAUAGGCCUGAGUGCUCAUCGUUUGGGCAAUAUCAUGCUGAUUCUGAACAUCUUUGUGAAUCCUUGACUGGUCUGUGAUUGUCCUUAGACGAUUUUAUUUCUUUUGAAUUAUUUUCUUACUUGGGUAUGCCUUCCUUACUUACAACUCUCUCUGAUUUUUAGGCUUUGCCCGAGAUUCUCUGAUUAAUUGGUAGAAUUAGCUCAUAUUUUCUUACCAUAUUUGUACAGAGACGACCGUCUGAAUCUUUAGACUAUAUUUUCCUUACCUAAACUGCUAUGUAUCUGACCUUUAUUGAAUACUAUAUGCUUGUUACUUUCACUAGGGUAAAUGUAGUUAAUUGAUUCUUUUCCUUUUUGAAACCUAUGCUUGUUACUGUUUUUCUUUGACUCCUUAGUUAAAGGGAAGUCUUGAUACUAAUUGGACUCUUAAUUGAUACUAGUCCCUAAAUUAAAGAUUGCUGCUUGUUUGUUAUGUUUGUUACCGUUUGUCUUUAACUACUUAGUUAAAGGGGAGUCCUGAUACUAAUUGGACUCUUAAUUGAUACUAGUCCCUUAAUUAAAGAUUGCUUCUUGUUUGGUACUCAUUUUCCAGUACUAUAAAUACCCUUCCCCCAUUCUCUUUGAAACACCAACACACACUGCAUCUCUCUCAUAAUUUCAAGCUCUGUGAAUUCUCUCUUUCACUUUCCCUGCUAUCUCUAUACUCUCUCAUUCUCUUAUUUGAAUACUCAAUCGACUGAAAGCCAAGAUUGAGUAGCCUGGGCUGUUUACCUCUACGCUAUUGAGUUCUAUUGCUUUGCUUACUUGGUUUGCUGCUACUGCUGUUCUCACACUACUAUUCUCUAUGCUGCUCACACUCCCUGCACACCCUGGUCUUUCUGUGCACUCUUGCUUAUUGCUCUUUGUGUUCUAUUUGUCUGCAACUGGUAUGUUAUCUAUUUAGUAUCCAGUCCCGAAAACAAUAUGCUUUUGUUAGUCCUGCACUUCAUCUUGUUCCUAGCAUGCUUCUAUCUGUGGUUCUGUUGUUCUUAUUGUCACUAGUAUGCACUCACUAGCCUGCUUAGUUUCAGCUUAGCAUGCUCCCCUUACCAGUUCCAUGUCUCAAUGUAUGUUUACUUUCCUUGUGUAUACCACCAUGUGUCCAGGACUGCUUGGCUACUUGAUUAGCCUAAAAACCUCUUCUUGAGGUUAAGUAUUUAGGGUUUGGUACAGUAAGAGCUGAAACCCCUUGUUUGUCGCAACUGUGUUUGAUUACCUGCUUUCAUUAUGUAUGUCUGUGUGUGAGUAGGUCCAUGUACUUAUCUAUUCCCUCCUCCUUUGCCCCUGUUUGUGUGAUGAUCUGUUUUAAACUGGUUAGUACCAAUGAUUUCAAAGGAAUUCCUUUCAACUUUCUCAACUCUCUUAAACUACUUUCUCAAACUGUCUCUCAACUCUUUUUCUUAAACUGACUCUCAAUUGUUUUAAACUCUCUCAAUCCUAUCACAACUUCACUGCUCUUAGAACCCUAGGUUCUGCCCCCUUAGUGUAAGCAUUACCUUAGGAGCCCUUGAGCACCCAUUGAAUUUUGAUGCACAAGGCUGGCACUUUCUACACUUGCACUUGUCUAAUAUUGAUACUCUGGGUGCUUGGUAUUGGCCAGGAGUUCAAAUGAACCCUUAGGGAACUUCGCCGCACCUAAGCCUUGGUAAUGGCUGUGAAACUCGAAAGAAGUGAGGUUGGAGAUGUUUGGCCUGGCUGAAGGCUUCCUAUUGAAUAGCUUCUUAUUUUUCUUUUAUCACUGUUGUAAUUUAAUGUAUCUAGGCUGUAAUAAUUUGUAAGAAUAUUGGGGCAUAUAGUGAAUAUGGGGGUUAUGCAUGUUUAAUUAAGGGAAUGGGUAGAAAACAUGCCUAUAAGACUUAUUUAUUUAUUUGUGCAAUUGCUACCAUGCCUUAGGACAUGCAUCCUCACAUAUAGAAACCAUGUUCUUAGGCCUUUUACUUUCAGUUGCUACUCUGUACAUUCUCGUAACCAUAACUAAUUAAUAAGCAACAAGUCAUUUAGAUAUCAUGUUCAUAGGAGCUCUAUGCAUUAGAGACCAUGCCUUUAGGACCUUUUAUAUGCAAUGCUUUAAGUAUUUCGUUAAUCUGGGUAAAAAAUUGGUCAACGACCCUCUCUUUAAAACUGGAAGCAAAUGUGCAUGUUCAGCGCUUGUUAAUAACACCUAGGCAAGCCUUAGGUCAGAUAAAAUGGG